Non-coding RNA from Podarcis lilfordi (Lilford's wall lizard), 103 nucleotides. NCBI's taxonomy places the organism in Eukaryota, Metazoa, Chordata, Lepidosauria, Squamata, Lacertidae. The record is from the annotation of a GenBank genome assembly.
UGUCCAGUAGCACCUUAUAGACCAACUAAGUUUGUUCUGGUAUACGCUUUCGUGUGCAUGCACGAAGACCAAACUUAGUUGGUCUAUAAGGUGCUACUGAACA